CGCGCAGGCGGGUUCGUCAGUCAGGGGUGAAAUCCUACAGCUUAACUGUAGAACUGCCUUUGAUACUGCAAACCUUGAGUUCGGAAGAGAGAGGCGGAAUUCCAGGUGUAGUGGUGAAAUACGUAGAUAUCUGGAAGAACACCAGAGGCGAAGGCGGUCUCUUGGUCCGUAACUGACGCUGAGGCGCGAAAGCGUGGGGAGCAAACA
Molecule: ribosomal RNA, 207 nt
Filed under: uncultured bacterium
Lineage: Bacteria
Description: partial 16S ribosomal RNA
Rfam family: Bacterial small subunit ribosomal RNA
Source: RNAcentral